RNAcentral lists this transfer RNA (69 nucleotides) under Pseudolabrys sp. RNAcentral's name for it is "tRNA-Arg". Lineage: Bacteria; Pseudomonadati; Pseudomonadota; Alphaproteobacteria; Hyphomicrobiales; Xanthobacteraceae. The record is from RNAcentral.
GGGCUGGCUGGAUAGGACGGCGGUUUCCUAAACCGAAGGUCGGAGGUUCGACUCCUCUCGGGACCGCCA